UCCGAAAUAGGCCAAGUAAACGGGAAAGGGAAUCUAGGUCGAUUGUCGAUGAAGGCGACUUUGUAUGUGCGAGUGACCUGAUUGCUAUACGGGGGCUCGCAAUGAGGUCAUACCUCGACAGAAAAGGGGGACGGCGGUCUGGUUAUACUUUAUGACCUGAAGGCCACU
Non-coding RNA from Caenorhabditis elegans, 168 nucleotides. NCBI's taxonomy places the organism in Eukaryota, Metazoa, Nematoda, Chromadorea, Rhabditida, Rhabditidae. The record is from Ensembl.